CUAGGUAUGGGGAGUAUCGACCCUCUCCGUGCCGAAGCUAACGUUUUAAGUGUCCCGCCUGGGGAUUACGGCCGCAAGGCUAAAACUCAAAGGAAUUGACGGGUCCCCGCACAAGCAGCGGAGCGUGUGGUUUAAUUCGAUGCAACGCGAAGAACCUUACCAAGGCUUGACAUGUUGGAAGUAGAAUCCCGAAAGGGUGACGAACUGUUGAAUCAGUAGCCAUCACAGGUGAUGCAUGGCUGUCGUCAGCUCGUGCCGUGAGGUGUUGGGUUAAGUCCCGCAACGAGCGCAACCCUCGUUGCCAGUUGAUUUCUCUGGCGAGACUGCCCCGCAAAACGGGGAGGAAGGUGGGGAUGACGUCAAGUCAGCACGUCCCUUAUGCCUUGGGCUACACACACGCUACAAUGGGUGGUACAGUGAGCAGCAACAGAGCGAUCUGAAGCUAUUCCCCAAAACCAUCCUCAGUUCGAAUUGCAGGCUGAAACUCGCCUGCAUGAAGUUGGAGUUGCUAGUAAACGCGUAUCAGCACGGCGCGUUGAAUACGUUCUCGGGGAUUGUACACACCGCCCGUCACGUCAUGAAAGUCGGCAACACCUGAAGUCGAUGGGCUAACUCCGAUUUAUCGGAGAGGCAGUCGCCGAGGGUGGGGUUGAUGAUUGGGACGAAGUCGUAACAAGGUAGCCG
Molecule: ribosomal RNA, 684 nt
Filed under: uncultured bacterium
Lineage: Bacteria
Description: bacterial SSU rRNA
Rfam family: Bacterial small subunit ribosomal RNA
Source: RNAcentral